This 429-nucleotide ribosomal RNA is filed under the name bacterium. Its description in RNAcentral is "partial 16S ribosomal RNA". It matches the Rfam family "Bacterial small subunit ribosomal RNA", at positions 355 to 776 of the family's 1533-position model. The record is from RNAcentral.
UAGGGAAUCUUCGGCAAUGGGGGCAACCCUGACCGAGCAACGCCGCGUGAGUGAAGAAGGUUUUCGGAUCGUAAAGCUCUGUUGUAAGAGAAGAACGUGUGUGAGAGUGGAAAGUUCACACAGUGACGGUAACUUACCAGAAAGGGACGGCUAACUACGUGCCAGCAGCCGCGGUAAUACGUUGGUCCCGAGCGGUGUCCGGAUUUAUUGGGCGUAAAGGGAGCGCAGGCGGUUUAAUAAGUCUGAAGUUAAAGGCAGUGGCUUAACCAUUGUUCGCUUUGGAAACUGUUAAACUUGAGUGCAGAAGGGGAGAGUGGAAUUCCAUGUGUAGCGGUGAAAUGCGUAGAUAUAUGGAGGAACACCGGUGGCGAAAGCGGCUCUCUGGUCUGUAACUGACGCUGAGGCUCGAAAGCGUGGGGAGCAAACAGG